This is an RNA transcript of Cataglyphis hispanica, 1412 nucleotides long. It is a transcript of the gene named transmembrane protein 234 homolog, with no coding region annotated. NCBI's taxonomy places the organism in Eukaryota, Metazoa, Arthropoda, Insecta, Hymenoptera, Formicidae. The record is from RefSeq and is a predicted model, not a curated record. The transcript has 4 exons.
GAUUUUAUUAUUGCUAGACUGUCCUAGACGCGAGAAAAUGGCGGACCCAUUGACCAAGUACGGUAUUUACAUCGAUGAAUUUAGCAAACUACUCAUUUUAGAACCAGAAGCGGCCAAUCAGUCCAACAAAUUGAAGGACGAAUGUCAAAAUUUUGUAUCCAUGAUUACCGAAUUUGAGAAAAAUACCGAUGACUUUAUCAAAAUAUUGGACGAUUUGGGGAAGGAAGUAGAAAAAGAGAAAAUGAAAACAAUCGGUGCACGAAAUGUCUUACGUUCCACUGCGAAACAAAGAGAAGCCCAGAAACAGCAGAUGCAGGCUUUAAAUUUGGAAAAAUCCAUGAAACUGGAACGACUACGAGUACAAUACGAGUCUUUAAAAAAGAUAGAAUUAGAACAAUUAGAAACCAUCGAACAUUUGUCAGUGAAUUAAUAUCGUUGCAUUAGUAUUAAAACUAUUAAUUUUUGUUUAAUAAAUUUACAUUGUUUUUUUUUUUUAUUGAAUAAUUUUUGCUCUUGCUAAUAACGUAAUGAUUUUAGAAAAUAUCGACACAUUUAGUUUUUUUAGAAUUUUAAAACUGAUGUUAUAUAUAGUCUGAUUUACACCCUAUUUUAAUAUGUAUUAAAUACUAUAGUGGCCGAUCACAGUCAUUCCACAGUCAUUCUUUAAAGGAAUAUUAAAAUAUAUCGGUAUAAACUAUAUAUCUUUGACGAAAAAAUUUGUGUUAAUUAUUCAUGGGAUAAAUCUUUAGAUAAAUCUUUAGGUUCGACAUCAAAUUGCUGUUUGUGAAAAAUAGAUAGUGAUAAAUGUAUCCGUCAAUCAUUUUAUUGGACAAUGCAAUGUUAAUGGUCGCAUUUAGCGAAUUCAACAUAACUAGGAUUAUUUUGCCAUUAACUUUUGGCGGCCAUAUUCUUUAUUAAAAUUCACUGCAUAUAUGUGUGGUUUGAUCAUUUCUAAUUAUUUACUAAAUUAUUUCGAGUGUUAUUUGCAUAUUUAUUUCGCCGCUCUUUUCGAUCAUUUUAAUACUUUGAAAUUGGCAAUCUUGGUCAUUGCUAGAUUUCGAACCGUCGUGACGUCACAAAAAAAAUUUUGCGCGCGGAAAGUUACUGCAAACGUUUCUCGUCCAGCGUCCGACAUUUAUCACGAGUUUAAUAUCACGGAACAUUGUUGUUACUAUAAUUUUGAUAUCAUUUGAUUAUUCAUGGUUUCUACACGUUCAAAAUCGUCUUGACAUAUUUCACGUUACUUUCUCGUCGAAGCACAUCUAAAAUACACGUAUACGUAUAUACAUACAUCAUCAUAGUCAGAUUCUAUCUUAUAUUUAUGUCUCGUGGCGAUUCUUUGGGGAGUAACUAAUCCAUUUAUAAAGAAAGGUGCGCAAGGUCUGGAGAAUGUCAAAGCCACCUCCUUUUAU